UUCCUUUCCUUUCCUUUCCUUUCCUUUCCUUUCCUUUCCUUUCCUUUCCUUUCCUUUCCUUUCCUUUCCUUUCCUUUCCUUUCCUUUCCUUUCGUGAGAAAGGCAUAAAAAUAAUUGGGCUAGGAAACAAGGAUUUUCACUCCUAAAUGUUGUCUACCUGGAUGUAGCUGCCUUGUCAGCAUCAAUUUAUGGUAAAUUUUGAUCAAUUCAAAACAAGACAGUGUAUGGGUGUAAAAUGUGUCUACAUCCAGUUUCUAGGGAAGCACAUCAUGCAUUCCAGAAAUUCUGUGUUUCAUGAACUCUUCCAAAGCAACAAACUCAUGAAGGGGAUAAAAAAUCCUGUGCUGCUUGUCACAUAAAAGGGAAAUCCCAGAAGGACUGAAAACUUUUAUGAGGAUCACAUCUCAUUCCAGGAUGGGUUCUUCAAACGCUCCAGACCCAGCUACCAACAAAUGAGGGAAGGACGGACGGUUCUUUCCUCCCUUGAUUAGGCUUUCCACCAACAGCUGUGAUUUUGUCCUGGUUACUGGUUGGUAAAAACUGGUCUUCAUAAGUUUGAGUAGUGCAAGAUUUUUACAAGGCUAAGCAAAACCUGGAAUGCCUUGAUGUAUCACAGAAUUCAUCCCUCUUGAGUGCGUUUUUUAUUUCAUGUCUGGAUCAAAACAUUACCUCCCUAGUCUGCGUGCGUGUGGCUUGGUCCCUGGGACACCUGCCAAGACAAGAAUUUUGGAUGCCUGCAAUCAUGUGCCCAGCAGGUGUAAAUUGUGUUCAGGGAGAGUUCACCUUUUGUCCUUAACCCCAGAGGCAGUUUCUCUUCAUUAGCAAGGGAAGAUAGAGAAAGAGAUUAUCAUCAUUUCCUGACUGCAUGCCAAAGUUAUGUAUCAUGAGAAGAAAAUCUGUUCAUACAUUCACAAAUAUGUUUUCUCCUACUCUGUCUUUAGGAAAAUGUCUUUGUGAGGAGCGAGGGGUAAUAAUCGUAGAGAAGUUGAAAGAAGUGACAGAAACAGAAACAGAAUCUCUCAGCUGCGAUUUUUUUAAAGCAGGAUGCAUGUCUUUGCUGAAGGCUCCACAACGCAGAUUCAUUUGUCUUUUUAGGUAAGUAGAUAUUUUUAAGUGCCCAACUUACUCCCUGA
Molecule: long non-coding RNA, 1133 nt
Filed under: Anser brachyrhynchus (Pink-footed goose)
Lineage: Eukaryota; Metazoa; Chordata; Aves; Anseriformes; Anatidae
Description: lncRNA (ENSABRG00000018155.1)
Source: RNAcentral